Non-coding RNA from Podarcis lilfordi (Lilford's wall lizard), 73 nucleotides. The record is from the annotation of a GenBank genome assembly. Lineage: Eukaryota; Metazoa; Chordata; Lepidosauria; Squamata; Lacertidae.
GGCUAUAGCUCAGUGGGAGAGCAUCUGCUUUGCAUGCAGAAGGUCCUGGAUUCAAAUUCUGCCAGCAUCGCCA